GACGAACGCUGGCGGCGUGCCUAAUACAUGCAAGUGGGACGCAAGGGAACACACUGUGCUUGCACACCGUGUUUUCUUGAGUCGCGAACGGGUGAGUAACGCGUAGGUAACCUGCCUAUUAGCGGGGGAUAACUAUUGGAAACGAUAGCUAAUACCGCAUAAUAUUAAUUAUUGCAUGAUAAUUGAUUGAAAGAUGCAAGCGCAUCACUAGUAGAUGGACCUGCGUUGUAUUAGCUAGUUGGUAAGGUAAGAGCUUACCAAGGCGACGAUACAUAGCCGACCUGAGAGGGUGAUCGGCCACACUGGGACUGAGACACGGCCCAGACUCCUACGGGAGGCAGCAGUAGGGAAUCUUCGGCAAUGGACGAAAGUCUGACCGAGCAACGCCGCGUGAGUGAAGAAGGUUUUCGGAUCGUAAAGCUCUGUUGUAAGUCAAGAACGUGUGUGAGAGUGGAAAGUUCACACAGGACGGAGCUACCAGAAAGGACGCAUU
RNAcentral lists this ribosomal RNA (493 nucleotides) under Streptococcus mutans. RNAcentral describes it as "bacterial SSU rRNA". It matches the Rfam family "Bacterial small subunit ribosomal RNA", at positions 28 to 498 of the family's 1533-position model. Lineage: Bacteria; Bacillati; Bacillota; Bacilli; Lactobacillales; Streptococcaceae. The record is from RNAcentral.